RNAcentral lists this ribosomal RNA (253 nucleotides) under uncultured bacterium. RNAcentral describes it as "partial 16S ribosomal RNA". It matches the Rfam family "Bacterial small subunit ribosomal RNA", at positions 524 to 776 of the family's 1533-position model. The record is from RNAcentral.
UACGUAGGGUGCGAGCGUUAAUCGGAAUUACUGGGCGUAAAGCGUGCGCAGGCGGUUUUGUAAGCCCGAUGUGAAAUCCCCGGGCUUAACCUGGGAAUGGCAUUUGGGACUGCAAGGCUCGAGUGCGGCAGAGGAGACUGGAAUUCCUGGUGUAGCAGUGAAAUGCGUAGAUAUCAGGAGGAACACCGAUGGCGAAGGCAGGUCUCUGGGCUGACACUGACGCUGAUGCACGAAAGCGUGGGGAGCAAACAGG